AAUAAGUUAAACCAGAAAGUAUUGUGUUUUGAAAGCACAUAAAUGAAGUUAAAUACCUCAUUAUUU
Molecule: transfer RNA, 66 nt
Filed under: Eublaberus distanti
Lineage: Eukaryota; Metazoa; Arthropoda; Insecta; Blattodea; Blaberidae
Description: tRNA-Ser
Source: RNAcentral